Molecule: non-coding RNA, 30 nt
Filed under: Rattus norvegicus (Norway rat)
Lineage: Eukaryota; Metazoa; Chordata; Mammalia; Rodentia; Muridae
Source: RNAcentral
UGAGUGAUGUAUUAUGUUGGAUUUAAACCC